CACGCCUUGGACUUUUAAGGUCACAGGGACUUUUGUUCUUUCACUCUUUUACAAGUUUUGAUCACGUAUUGUCGUUUUCUAACAUGGGUAAGAAAACAGCAUGGGAUACAUGGACUGCUUUUGGAGAGAUUACACUCGUGUUUAAGAGCGAUAUUAUAUAUUGAUGAAUGAUAAACAAGUGAAUGUAAGAAGGUGAACGACGCACGG
RNAcentral lists this long non-coding RNA (207 nucleotides) under Mytilus galloprovincialis (Mediterranean mussel). The record is from RNAcentral. Lineage: Eukaryota; Metazoa; Mollusca; Bivalvia; Mytilida; Mytilidae.